Molecule: long non-coding RNA, 1402 nt
Filed under: Gallus gallus (chicken)
Lineage: Eukaryota; Metazoa; Chordata; Aves; Galliformes; Phasianidae
Description: lncRNA (ENSGALG00010001875.1)
Source: RNAcentral
GACCCCACAAUUUCCACCUCCCCCACCCCCCACCCCAUACCUGUGGGGCAGCAGCCGUUGGGGUGGAGGCGGUUGUAGGGCAGGAAGUGGGGAACGGGACAGGAAGCGCCACCCUGAGCUCAGCCCUAUAACCAAAAGUAGGGGAGGGGAGAAAAUGGGGGACGCCCCAUAGAGGCUAUCGGAUCUAUGGGGUCUCUAUGGGGUCUGUGAGGCCUACGGAGUCUCUAUGGGGCAGAAUGGAGCUCUUUGGGUCACUAUGGGGCAGAAUGGGGCUCUAUGGGGUCUCUAUGGUCUCUAUGGGGCAGAAUGGGGCUCUAUGGGGUCUCUAUGUGGCAGAAUGCGGCUCUAUGGGGUCUCUGUGGGGCAGAAUGAGGCCUAUGGGGUCUCUAUGGGGUGGGAUGGGGCAGAAUGGGGCUCUGUGGGGUCUCUGUGGGGCAGAAUGGAGCUCUAUGGGGUGUCUAUGGGGCAGAAUUGGACUCUAUGGGGCCUCUAUGGGGCAGAAUGGAGCUCUAUGGGGUCUCUAUGGGGCAGAGUGGGGCUCUAUGGGGUCUCUAUGGGGCAGAGUGGGGCUCUAUGGGGUCUGUUGGGACUCUAUGGGGUCUGUUGUGACUCUGUGGGGUCUAUGGGGCUCUAUGGGGUCUGUUGGGACUCUAUGGGGUCUAUGGGGCUCUAUGGGGUCUGUUGAGACUCUAUGGGUCUCUGUGGGGCAGAAUGGGGCUCUAUGAGGCUCUAUGGGCUCUAUGGGGCUCUAUGGGGCCUGUUGGGUUCUAUGGGGCUCUGUGGGUCUCUAUGGGGUCUGUUGGGCUCUAUGGGGCUCUAUGGGCUCUAUGGGGCUCUAUGGGGCUCUGUGGAUCUCUAUGGGGUCUGUUGGGAUCUAUGCGGCUCUAUGGGCUCUAUGGGGCUCUGUGGAUCUCUAUGGGGUCUGUUGGGAUCUAUGGGGCUCUAUGGGGCUCUAUGGUUCUCUAUGGGCUCUAUGGGGCUCUAUGGUGUCUGUUGCGACUCUAUGGGCUCUAUGGGGCUCUAUGGGGUCUGUUGGGACUCUCUGGGCUCUAUGGGGCUCUAUGGUGUCUGUUGGGUUCUAUGGGGCUCUGUGGAUCUCUAUGGGGUCUGUUGGGAUCUAUGGGGCCUGUUGGGAUCUAUGGGGCUCUAUGGGGUCUAUGGGGCUCUAUGGGGUCUGUUGGGAUUCUAUGGGAUCUAUGGGGCUCUAUGGGGCUCAAUGGGGCUCUGUGGGUCUCUAUGGUGGUCCUCCACCUCAAUGGAGCCCAGCGGAGCUCAGUGGGUCACACACACACACACACACACACACAGCCGGCGCAGCACUUUGGGGUCCUUUAUUGGCAGAACGUCCCCCAUACAGACCACCCCCCCCCCCCCAUAACCCAUCACAGACCCUCCCCCUUCC